GAAAGGUGAAAAGUACCCCGAGAGGGGAGUGAAAUAGACCUGAAACCAUUUAACCUACAAGCCGUGGAAGCUCUAUAUGAGUGACCGCGUGCCUAUUGAAGAAUGAGCCAGCGAGUUAAUCUAUGCAGCUUGGUUAAGGAACACAAGUUCCGUAGCCGUAGCGAAAGCGAGUCUGAAUAGGGCGCUUACUGGGUGAAAUUAAUGCUGUUGCUUUGAAUGAAGAUCAAAGAUUUUCGGAUUAGAGAUCUGAUUUUGAUUUAAUAGUUGAUUUUUCGUUAUCCCCGGUGUGUUGUAUGGAUUAGACCCGAAACCGAGUGAGCUACCUAUGGCCAGGUUGAAGCUCAGAUAGUAUCUGAGUGGAGGACCGAACCCGUGUAUGGUACAAAAUGCUGGGAUGAGCUGUGGGUAGAGGUGAAAUGCCAAUCGAACUCGGAGAUAGCUGGUUCUCCCCGAAAUGUAUUUAGGUACAGCCUUAAUAUAUAGUCUUGGGGGGGUAGAGCUCUGGAUGAGCUAGGGGGUGUAAGCUUACUAAACUCAACCAAACUCCAAAUACCUCAAGAUGUUUAUUAGGAGUGAGACAGUGGGGGAUAAGCUCCAUUGUCGAAAGGGAAACAGCCCAGAUCGCAGGCUAAGGCCCCUAAAUGUGAACUAAGUGUGAAAGGAAGUUAGAUUGGCGAGACAGCUAGGAGGUUGGCUUAGAGGCAGCCAUCCUUUGAAGAGUGCGUAACAGCUCACUAGCAGACUGGUUUUGCGCCGAAAAUGUAACGGGGCUAAGUUCACUGCCGAAGCCGCGACUUUAGCCAUUUAUUUGGUUAAGGGGUAGGGGAGCGUUGCCAAAGCAUUGAAGCUAUGUACGUGAGUAAUAGUGGAGUUUUGGGAAGUGAGAAUGCUGGCAUGAGUAGCGACAAUCUUGGUGAGAAUCCAAGACACCGAAAACCCAAGGUUUCCUACGCAACGUUGAUCAGCGUAGGGUAAGUCGGGCCUAAGCUGUAGCGUAUAGCGAAAGCGAUGGACAGCAGGUCAAAAUUCCUGCACCGUUGUUAUGGCGUUUUAAGGCAAAGGGGGGACACGGAAAGGUAGAUAGAUCGUACCUAUUGGACAUGGUACGUUAUGUUCUGAAGGCCAUGCUUAGACUGGGAAAUCCGUUUAAGCGUUAUGAGCUGAGAGGAUAAUAAAACUUAAGGGCUUAUGCCCUUGAGGAUUCUAUUGAUCCUAUGCCGUCAAGAAAAUCCUCGUUGCUAGACAUUUCAGCGUCCGUACCGCAAACCGACACAGGUGGGUAGGGGUAAGUAUCCCAAGGUGAACGAGAGAACCUUCGUUAAGGAAUUCGACAACUUAACUCUGUAACUUCGGAAUAAAGAGUGCCCGUUUGGUAGUGUUUACUUGCUAAACAUGGCUAAAGCGGGUCGCAGUGAACAGGCUCAGGCGACUGUUUAUCAAAAACAUAGGUCUCUGCUAAAGCGAAAGCUGAUGUAUAGGGGCUGACGCCUGCCCAGUGCCGGAAGGUUAAGGGAAAGGGUUCGUUUCAAUUCGUUGAAACAAAGCUCUGCACUGAAGCCCCGGUGAACGGCGGCCGUAACUAUAACGGUCCUAAGGUAGCGAAAUCCCUUGUCGGGUAAGUUCCGACCUGCACGAAUGGCGUAACGAUCUGAGCGUUGUCUCAACGAAGGACUCGGUGAAAUUGCAUGGCCGGUAAAGAUGCCGGCUACCCGCAACAGGACAAAAAGACCCCGUGGAGCUUUACUGUAGCUUGGUAAUGGAUUGUGUUUAUUAAUGUGUAGGAUAGGCGGGAGACUUUGAAGCAUCGGCGCUAGCUGAUGUGGAGUCAACCUUGAAAUACCGCUCUUUACUAAAUUCGAUUCUAACCUCGUAGAAAACGAGGGACAUUGCCAGGUGGGCAGUUUGACUGGGGCGGUCGCCUCCUAAAGAGUAAC
Molecule: ribosomal RNA, 1934 nt
Filed under: marine metagenome
Description: bacterial LSU rRNA
Rfam family: Bacterial large subunit ribosomal RNA
Source: RNAcentral